This is an RNA transcript of Populus nigra (black poplar), 2565 nucleotides long. It is a transcript of the gene named protein ecdysoneless homolog, with no coding region annotated. Lineage: Eukaryota; Viridiplantae; Streptophyta; Magnoliopsida; Malpighiales; Salicaceae. The transcript has 6 exons. The record is from RefSeq and is a predicted model, not a curated record.
AAAACAUGGUAAGGUUCUGGUUUCCCCCAGAAAGUCCUUACUCUCUCUGGCUCUUUUAUCACCCUCCCCGCCUGUCUAAUGCUUCAUUGAUUCCCUUCUGGCUUCUACCCAAAUGAUCAAAAUGGCUGCCCAGUCGCAAGCACACUCCCGAGUCCCAGACGACACUGUUUACUACGCUAUCUUCCCGGACUCCUCUUCCCUCUCUAAUCCCUCCGCUUCCUCUCAAUCCCUCCACCUCUACCUCCAAAUCCUUGACUUCAUUUCUCCUUACACCUCCUCCUACAUCUGGCAACACGAACCCUUCUCUCUUUCCCUCUCCUCCUCCUCCUCUCCCCCUCUCCCUCACCUCCACGGCAAGCUCCGCUUUGGCGACAACAUUGAAGAUGAGUGGUUCACUGUUUUCCUUCUCUUCCAAAUCUCUCACCACUUCCCUUCUCUCUCCAUUCGAGUCUGGGACAACGAUGGUGAAUUUCUCCUCAUUGAAGCUGCCUUUCAUCUCCCUCGUUGGAUUAACCCCGAAACCAGUGAUAACCGUGUGUUUAUUCGCCGCGGUGACAUCCAUAUUGUUCCGAAAAGCCGGUUACCCAACCCGAAGUUGAUCGAUUCCUUGAAGUUCUUGAUAGACUGUGAGGGUGAGUCACGUGCGGCGGAGUCUGUUCAGAUUGCGGUGAAGGGUCGGAUUUCUGAUUAUCCAGAAAGAGCGAGGCGAAAUAUGCAUCAAGCUAGGGUUAGGGUUCCGGUAUCGGUGGCACAGGUCUUAAAGCAGGAGCCGUGCUUGAUUUCUUUGGCGGUGGAGGGGUUUUAUGAUAGGGAUAUUGAUACAAUGAAGUAUGCGGCAAAAAUGGAGAAAUUUCUUAGUAAAGGGAAAGAGGAGGAGUUGGUUUGUGUGGUGAUAAAAAUGUCUAGAGCUAUGUAUGCUCAGUUAAUGCAGCAGAAGUUUCAGGCACCCAAGUGCUAUCGUAUGCCAAAUCGAGGAGAUGACGUGGGUGCGUAUCUGGAGGCGGAGUUAGGUAUGAAGAUUGCUUGUGGGUUCGAGAUGAUGUAUCAACAGAGGAAGAGGGAAGGAGAGGAGGGUAAAGGGAGCACGUGGUUGAAGUACAAGGAGAGUUUGGAGAGGAGUGGGUAUUUUGAAGGAUUUUUGCCAGGUUCGAAGGAUUACAAGAGGUUGAUGGAGAAUGCUGAGGGGUAUUACCGAAAUAGUACCUUGUUUUCGAGGACCAGUCAAAUGAUGAGUGCUCCAGUGAAACGGAUUGAUGAGAUUCUUGCUUUACCACACUCAGCUGAUGAUUUUAGUUGCCAGGAGGUUCCACCUUCUGAUGAUGAUUCUUGGCUGUAUAGUGGAGAAGAUGAGUUGAAUGCUGCUCUACAACAGAGACAAAACGAGAUGGAUCUCUACAACGCCAAACAUAAAAAGAAACAGAUGCCAAAAGAGUCACAAGAUGCUGGUCCUUCAUCCAGUAGUAAUUUUGAUGAUUUUGAUCUUGGUGAAAUGGCAAAAGCUAUGCAAGCAUUCGUGGAUAAAGCAUCAAGUUACAAGGGAGCAGAGGUUCCAGAAAACAGGAAUAUGAAAGAGGUGGACCUUGAUGUGGAGUGUUUUCUAAAUGACAUGGAAUCAGUAAUGAAGCGCUAUGGCCCUAAAGACGGUGCUGCCGAUGUUGAUUCUGAAGAAGCAUCCUCAUCUGACAUGGAUUUUGAUGAGUCUGAAGAUGAGAGUGAUAUUAUGGAAGCUUCUGAGGAUAAUGUGGACGGGGAGGACACUUUCAUGAACACUUAUUCUGAUGCUCUGAAUGAGGAACUGAAGAACACCACCCUUAAGAAAAGUUUUGUUCGUACAGAUGACCAAUUGCCCAAGAAAAACGAGGAGACAUCAAAUGCCAUGGAGGGCAUGGAUGAAGAAUUUACUCCCGUGGAUGUUGAUGUUAACCUGGUGAAGAGCCUGCUUGAUUCGUAUUCAUCUCAACAAGGACAACCUGGCCCCACUUCCAAUUUGCUGGGGCUCAUGGGUCUACAGCUCCCUCAAGAUACUACUAAGGGCAAAUGAAGCCGUUACAUCUUCUCCCCUCAUCUCAUAGUUCUUGUGCACUGGGGUUCAUGAUUUUGCGAGUUUGUGUUUAGCCUGACUACGAUUGAUACUUCUGAAUCGGAUUAUGGAUGAGGUGGUGGAUGCGAUUUUAGGACAGGAAUUGAAUUUACAUGAAACAGACCUGAAAACCAGCGAAAUUGCCUAGAGUGGGGUGCGGUAUGGUCUGCCUGCGGUAGCACAUUUAUUGUUGAAAAGGCUUGCCUUCUACUAGUCUCUCUCUUCCAUGUGGUCGCAUCUCAUGUCUGUAUUCGGUAAAGGUGAAGACAUUGAGAAGUAAUUCACCUGCCAUUUGUCAUUAUAUAAUGAGCUGGAGGAGUUCUGAAGGCAAGAUGACGAAAGAUACCACCUCAUCACUGAGCGAAUGGGUUUUUACCCCAUGGCUAACAAAUCAUAAUGAUGUUUUCGUUGGAGAAAUUGUGCUAUUAGCAUACAUAAUUAAAAAAAUUAAAGAAUUGAUAUAAUAACAAAAAGUUUUGUUAAAA